This 397-nucleotide ribosomal RNA is filed under the name uncultured bacterium. Its description in RNAcentral is "partial 16S ribosomal RNA". It matches the Rfam family "Bacterial small subunit ribosomal RNA", at positions 523 to 918 of the family's 1533-position model. The record is from RNAcentral.
AUACGUAGGGGGCGAGCGUUGUCCGGAAUGAUUGGGCGUAAAGGGCGCGUAGGCGGCCCGGUAAGUCUGGAGUGAAAGUCCUGUUUUUAAGAUGGGAAUUGCUUUGGAUACUGUCGGGCUUGAGUGCAGGAGAGGUAGGUGGAAUUCCCAGUGUAGCGGUGAAAUGCGUAGAGAUUGGGAGGAACACCAGUGGCGAAGGCGACUUACUGGACUGUAACUGACGCUGAGGCGCGAAAGUGUGGGGAGCAAACAGGAUUAGAUACCCUGGUAGUCCACACUGUAAACGAUGAAUGCUAGGUGUAAGAGGUAUCGACCCCUUUUGUGCCGGAGUCAACACAAUAAGCAUUCCGCCUGGGGAGUACGGCCGCAAGGUUGAAACUCAAAUGAAUUGACGGGG